RNAcentral lists this ribosomal RNA (264 nucleotides) under uncultured archaeon. RNAcentral describes it as "partial 16S ribosomal RNA". It matches the Rfam family "Archaeal small subunit ribosomal RNA", at positions 719 to 982 of the family's 1478-position model. The record is from RNAcentral.
AGUCACUGACAUUAGAUACCCGGGUAGUCCCAGCCGUAAACUAUGCGCGUUAGGUGUACUGGUGACCACGAGUCACCGGGGUGCCGAAGGGAAACCGUGAAACGUGCCGCCUGGGAAGUACGGUCGCAAGGCUGAAACUUGAAGGAAUUGGCGGGGGAGCACCGCAACGGGAGGAGCGUGCGGUUUAAUUGGAUUCAACACCGUAAACUCACCAGGGAAGACUGUUACAUGAAGGCCGAGAUGAAGACUCUGCUAGAUUUUCAG